AACAAAGAAGUAAAAAUUACAUUUAGUUUCGACCUAAAAUUAAGGAUAAACCUCAUGUUU
This 60-nucleotide transfer RNA is filed under the name Bothrogonia shuana. Its description in RNAcentral is "tRNA-Arg". The record is from RNAcentral. RNAcentral also lists the same sequence under 1 other name. Lineage: Eukaryota; Metazoa; Arthropoda; Insecta; Hemiptera; Cicadellidae.